This 497-nucleotide ribosomal RNA is filed under the name uncultured bacterium. Its description in RNAcentral is "partial 16S ribosomal RNA". It matches the Rfam family "Bacterial small subunit ribosomal RNA", at positions 28 to 507 of the family's 1533-position model. The record is from RNAcentral.
GACGAACGCUGGCGGCGUGCCUAAUACAUGCAAGUAGAACGCUGAAGAGAGGAGCUUGCUCUUCUUGGAUGAGUUGCGAACGGGUGAGUAACGCGUAGGUAACCUGCCUUGUAGCGGGGGAUAACUAUUGGAAACGAUAGCUAAUACCGCAUAACAAUGGAUGACACAUGUCAUUUAUUUGAAAGGGGCAAUUGCUCCACUACAAGAUGGACCUGCGUUGUAUUAGCUAGUAGGUGAGGUAAUGGCUCACCCAGGCGACGAUACAUAGCCGACCUGAGAGGGUGAUCGGCCACACUGGGACUGAGACACGGCCCAGACUCCUACGGGAGGCAGCAGUAGGGAAUCUUCGGCAAUGGGGGCAACCCUGACCGAGCAACGCCGCGUGAGUGAAGAAGGUUUUCGGAUCGUAAAGCUCUGUUGUAAGUCAAGAACGGGUGUGAGAGUGGAAAGUUCACACUGUGACGGUAGCUUACCAGAAAGGGACGGCUAACUACGUG